Gopherus evgoodei (Goodes thornscrub tortoise) is the source of this 1554-nucleotide long non-coding RNA. RefSeq lists it as uncharacterized. Lineage: Eukaryota; Metazoa; Chordata; Testudines; Testudinidae. The record is from RefSeq and is a predicted model, not a curated record. The transcript has 3 exons.
GGUCAGGCUGGACCCAGGGACCUCCCUUCCCUGGGCGGGAGAGAGCGGAAGCGGCCCCGGGGCAGGCUGGGAGAUGUAGUUCCUGACUCUCCCUGGACCGGAAGUGACGCUGGGUGGGAGAGAACAAGGCGAGUUGCAAGCGCGCGCGGGCCGCUCCGGCUCUGCCUGGCUCUCGCGGGGCCGUUGGAGCCUCUCCCGGGUCCGGAGAAGGGUUCUGUGUCUCCCGGCUCUGGGCAUGCGCAGAUCGGGCGGGAGGAGAGUCCCGCACACGCAGAGGCCGCGUCACCCGUUGCUGGUGCCUGGGGCCGGGGGCGGGCGGAGCAGGAGAGUUUGUGCCAAUACAGACUAACUCGGCCGCUACUCUGAACAUUGAGACCAAUGUUAAUCCAGAGUCACUGUAUGGAAAGACAAGGAGUGACUCCAGAUGGACAGUGGGGCAAAUGGGAUCAGCAAUUCUCCCUAUGAGGAGGGGCUCCCAUUAGCUGCUCUCCCUGGAGAGCUAAAGGAGGGAAGCUGCUCAAACGCUCUGUCUCUCUCUGCUCAGGAUAUUGGGGUUCAGCUUCCUGGGUCAGACACUGCAGCCUCCAUUGUGAUCUGGGAGACGAGGCUUGGCAGCUGCUGCUACCCCAGUGGGGUUCUGUGCUGGCAAGUGACCUUAGUUCAAGCUUCUUUUCUGUCCAGCCCAGGGGAUUACUUUCUCCAGCUCGUACUAGCCCCUUGUGGGACACCUGGGCCCUGUUAAUACCAAUUCUACCACAGACUCCAGGUAACUGAAAGACCUCAGGGAAAGUGCUGGGGUCUGGCAAGAAAGUGACUGCACAAACAGCCCUUCCUCAUUUCUACUCCCAUUAGCAAUUGCCAGGAGAAAAUCCAGCCAUGGGAGAGCAAAGCUCCCAGGAAUGGGACUUUCCCAGCUAGAGGGGCAGGGAGAGAGGACAGGGGAAGGGGAGACUGAAAGUGGCAGUGGGAGAAAUGAAUGUAGGGGAGAGAUUUCCAGCUCUCUGGUCCACCCAGACACAUGUAUUGCUGCAUCCCGGGGCAGAACCACUUUCCAGUGAACAAAACAAGGAUCAGAGAGAGGAAAAGCCAGUUCCUGACUCCAUAUUCCCCUGCUGGGGUGUGGCUGCUCUGGGGUCAGUGUCCGAGGGAAUCCCCCACAGUGACUCCUUUGUUUCUGCUCUUUUCUAGCCUUGUGUUCAGAGACUUUGUUAUGAGGGGAGGGAGAAAGGAGGUUAAAAAUCUCUCUGUGGGCUUAGCCUGGCAGCAGGGGCCAGGUCUACAGUGUAAUAACAUGCUUGAUCUCUUUCUCAGCAUGGCAGAAUCUAGGGUGUCUGUCUGCAAGGAAAGGGCCUUGGAGAAUCAUCUGGUGAAAUUAACUGAAGUCUGUUCUGAAACCCUCACAACUGUCCUCCUCACCCAGACAGGUGGUAGAAUGACAUCCUUUUUUUGCUCCAGCUCAUCCCAUCCUCCCAUGGGAGAGGGAAGAUAAAUGAGUGCAGGGAAGCCUGUUAAGGGUCCGGUGACCUUCGAGGAGGUGGCUGUGUAUUUCACCAG